UCUUUUUUUUUUACAAUACGGUUAUAUAAUAAAAUUAUAAUUAAAUAAUUCCGCAUUAUUUUUUAAAUUAUUUUAUACCGUUUUGAAGGCGUAAAAAAUUGUUAAUCGUUAUUGUAAUGUGAACUAAUCGAGUAAAAAUGAAGAGAGCAUACAUAGUAAAAGAAAUAUUUCAAAAAUUUCAGAAAAAUUCACGAAUCAAAGGCAGUAGGCGGUAGUUCACUAGGUAGACAUAUUUAGCCUCCCCUCAGAGGAAAAAUCUCUUUCGUCAGUAACUAAUAUAAGAGCUUAAUGCACUUCAUGCGUUUGAGAGACAAACAUCUUUUGAUAAAUAAUAUUAUUUUGAACCAUGAACAUUUUUUUCGCGGUUUUAUUCCUGGGAAGUGUUAAGAUUUUUGAUUGUAGACCACAAUCAGAUAGUACAAUCAUCAGCUAUGAAAAUGACCCAUUGCACGAUGGAUCAAAUGGAGAACAAUUGUACAAAUACAGUUACAAGACGAGUAAUAAUAUUGAAGUGGAGCAAAAUGGAAUCGUAGACUCAGAGGGAGUUCUCACAGUUAAAGGAUGUUUUUCUUAUGUGGACGAUAAGGGCGUAACGCAAAAAGUGUGCUAUAUUGCUGAUAAAAAUGGUUAUCGUAUAGCGCCUCUCCCUAUAGAUUCACCUCCGCUUCUACCGAGACCUUAUAUUAGUAGUGCUUUAUUGUCUAGUUUAUCAGGUCAAGGAUUAGGAUAAGUAACAAAAGUUUUCGACAAGUCAAUGAAUAAUGAUUUUACUCAUUGCAUUGUUUUUCAUUCCUUAUUAGCUUUCGUUAAUAAUAAUUGUUUGGAAUAUAUUAAGUACAUUGUAAAAUUAAUGGUUCAACAAAUAAUUUUGUCUUUAGUUACAAUAUAAGAAAGUUGUAUAUAUAUAUAGUUGAAUAUUUUAUAACCUGAUAAAUUUUUGUAGCAGUAUUAUUUUGAUUUAAUAAGAAUAAAACUAUUAAUCGGA
Dalotia coriaria is the source of this 985-nucleotide long non-coding RNA. RefSeq lists it as uncharacterized. The record is from RefSeq and is a predicted model, not a curated record. Lineage: Eukaryota; Metazoa; Arthropoda; Insecta; Coleoptera; Staphylinidae. The transcript is spliced from 3 exons.